UCUAUACAGAGAAGAUUAGCUUUCCCCCCAUGCAAGGAUGACACACAGAUUUGUAAAGCAUUCAAUAUUUUU
RNAcentral lists this small nuclear RNA (72 nucleotides) under Ornithorhynchus anatinus (platypus). Lineage: Eukaryota; Metazoa; Chordata; Mammalia; Monotremata; Ornithorhynchidae. The record is from RNAcentral.